GGCGACCCGGCGAGUAGAGCCAACACCAACACUCCUCCUUAGCGAGGGGUCUCCCCGCCGCGGUGGCUGCCCGGCCCCAAGGACAGGAGGGUUUGGGCACUGACUCCUGACCCCGUCCUCCAGCGCUGCUCUGGAGGGAGAGUCUGUGCGGUGGCACCUGCGCGAAGCCGGCCAAAGCCUGCCCAGACUGCUCACCUGUGCGGGAUGGAACGAAAG
This 216-nucleotide non-coding RNA is filed under the name Pongo abelii (Sumatran orangutan). The record is from RNAcentral. Lineage: Eukaryota; Metazoa; Chordata; Mammalia; Primates; Hominidae.